UAGUUCGGAAUUACUGGGCGUAAAGCGCACGUAGGCGGCUUUGUAAGUUAGAGGUGAUAGCCUGGAGCUCAACUCCAGAAUUGCCUUUAAGACUGCAUCGCUUGAAUCCAGGAGAGGUGAGUGGAAUUCCGAGUGUAGAGGUGAAAUUCGUAGAUAUUCGGAAGAACACCAGUGGCGAAGGCGUCUCAC
Molecule: ribosomal RNA, 189 nt
Filed under: uncultured Sphingomonadales bacterium
Lineage: Bacteria; Pseudomonadati; Pseudomonadota; Alphaproteobacteria; Sphingomonadales
Description: partial 16S ribosomal RNA
Rfam family: Bacterial small subunit ribosomal RNA
Source: RNAcentral